This 498-nucleotide ribosomal RNA is filed under the name uncultured bacterium. RNAcentral describes it as "partial 16S ribosomal RNA". It matches the Rfam family "Bacterial small subunit ribosomal RNA", at positions 28 to 523 of the family's 1533-position model. The record is from RNAcentral.
GAUGGACGCUAGCUACAGGCUUAACACAUGCAAGUCGAGGGGUAGCAGGGUAGCAAUACCGCUGACGACCGGCGCACGGGUGAGUAACACGUAUCCAACCUUCCCAUAACUCAGGGAUAGCCUUUCGAAAGAAAGAUUAAUACCUGAUAGUACUUAAGAAAGGCAUCAUUUUUAAGUUAAAGAUUUAUUGGUUAUGGAUGGGGAUGCGUUCCAUUAGAUAGUUGGUGAGGUAACGGCUCACCAAGUCUUCGAUGGAUAGGGGUUCUGAGAGGAAGGUCCCCCACAUUGGUACUGAGACACGGACCAAACUCCUACGGGAGGCAGCAGUGAGGAAUAUUGGUCAAUGGGCGAGAGCCUGAACCAGCCAAGUAGCGUGAAGGAUGAAGGUCCUAUGGAUUGUAAACUUCUUUUAUAGUAGAAUAAAGUGAGCCACGUGUGGUUUUUUGUAUGUAUACUAUGAAUAAGGAUCGGCUAACUCCGUGCCAGCCGCCGCAGUAA